GUUAAGCGACUAAGCGUACACGGUGGAUGCCCUGGCAGUCAGAGGCGAUGAAGGACGUGCUAAUCUGCGAUAAGCGUCGGUAAGGUGAUAUGAACCGUUAUAACCGGCGAUUUCCGAAUGGGGAAACCCAGUGUGAUUCGUCACACUAUCAUUAACUGAAUCCAUAGGUUAAUGAGGCGAACCGGGGGAACUGAAACAUCUAAGUACCCCGAGGAAAAGAAAUCAACCGAGAUUCCCCCAGUAGCGGCGAGCGAACGGGGAGCAGCCCAGAGCCUGAAUCAGUGUGUGUGUUAGUGGAAGCGUCUGGAAAGGCGCGCGAUACAGGGUGACAGCCCCGUACACAAAAAUGCACAUGCUGUGAGCUCGAUGAGUAGGGCGGGACACGUGGUAUCCUGUCUGAAUAUGGGGGGACCAUCCUCCAAGGCUAAAUACUCCUGACUGACCGAUAGUGAACCAGUACCGUGAGGGAAAGGCGAAAAGAACCCCGGCGAGGGGAGUGAAAAAGAACCUGAAACCGUGUACGUACAAGCAGUGGGAGCACGCUUCGGCGUGUGACUGCGUACCUUUUGUAUAAUGGGUCAGCGACUUAUAUUCUGUAGCAAGGUUAACCGAAUAGGGGAGCCGAAGGGAAACCGAGUCUUAACUGGGCGUUAAGUUGCAGGGUAUAGACCCGAAACCCGGUGAUCUAGCCAUGGGCAGGUUGAAGGUUGGGUAACACUAACUGGAGGACCGAACCGACUAAUGUUGAAAAAUUAGCGGAUGACUUGUGGCUGGGGGUGAAAGGCCAAUCAAACCGGGAGAUAGCUGGUUCUCCCCGAAAGCUAUUUAGGUAGCGCCUCGUGAAUUCAUCUCCGGGGGUAGAGCACUGUUUCGGCAAGGGGGUCAUCCCGACUUACCAACCCGAUGCAAACUGCGAAUACCGGAGAAUGUUAUCACGGGAGACACACGGCGGGUGCUAACGUCCGUCGUGAAGAGGGAAACAACCCAGACCGCCAGCUAAGGUCCCAAAGUCAUGGUUAAGUGGGAAACGAUGUGGGAAGGCCCAGACAGCCAGGAUGUUGGCUUAGAAGCAGCCAUCAUUUAAAGAAAGCGUAAUAGCUCACUGGUCGAGUCGGCCUGCGCGGAAGAUGUAACGGGGCUAAACCAUGCACCGAAGCUGCGGCAGCGACGCUUAUGCGUUGUUGGGUAGGGGAGCGUUCUGUAAGCCUG
RNAcentral lists this ribosomal RNA (1209 nucleotides) under Escherichia coli. RNAcentral describes it as "partial 23S ribosomal RNA". It matches the Rfam family "Bacterial large subunit ribosomal RNA", at positions 1 to 1251 of the family's 2925-position model. The record is from RNAcentral. Lineage: Bacteria; Pseudomonadati; Pseudomonadota; Gammaproteobacteria; Enterobacterales; Enterobacteriaceae.